UUUUUUUUUUUUUUUUUUUUUUUUUUUUUUGCUUUUUAGGGCCACACCUGCAACUUGCAGCAUAGAGAAAUUCCCAGCCUGGGAAUCUCCAUAUGCCGUAAGUGCCGCACUAAAAAGCCGGGGGGGAAAAAAAAGGAAAAACGACUCAGAUAUAUAUAGAUGUAUAUAUAUAUAUGUAAUAAUAAAAAAUGCGUGUGUAUAUGUGUCCAAGUGCUAGGUAGACAGUAGGACCUUCUUGUUUAUUUCUUCUGUAUAUAAUAGUUUGCACCUGCUCACCCCAGACUUCCCAUCCAUCCCUCCCUGACCCCCACUCAUUUUUAUUUUUGAGGAAACAAAAGAUAAGAUGGGAGUUCCCAUCGUGGCGCAGUGGUUAACGAAUCCGACUAGGAACCACGAGGUUGUGGGUUCGAUCCCUGGCCUUGCUCAGUGGGUUAAGGAUCCGACAUUGCUGUGAGCUGUGGUAUAGGUUGCAGACUCGGCUUGGAUUCUGCAUUGCUGUGGCUCUGGCAUAGACCUGUGGCUACAGCUCCAAUUAGACCCCUAGCCUGGGGACCUCCAUAUGCUGCGAGAGCGGCCCAAGAAAUGGCAAAAAGAUGCAUGCUUUUUCUUUUUGAGUGCUACUUAAUUCCUCACUCAAUGGGGUAACUGUGGGAAUCUUACUUAGUGUGUUUUGUGUUGGUUCAUCAGCUUCUGUGCUUUUAUUUGCUGUUGAAUAUCUUCUUAAGCUGAUACUGUGUGGAAACCUGGCGGGGACCUCAGGCUCCCAGUCUGCGACGAGGCAGGGCAGGUCACACAGGCAGCCUGUGGGAUCAGGUUGGGCAUGGGGCCAGGCAGGUAAUAGGAAGGGAUGUUGCUCAAGGCUGGUACUAAGAAAUAGGUUGGAGUCAUGGGGUUAGGUCAGGGUCAAGGCAGACAGAGCCAAGAAGAGACACCGAGUGUUCUCAUGCCCUGACUAAAGGCAUUCCAGAUAGCCCUAUGGGAAGCUGUGUAGACAAGUCUAAAGCUCCCUGGAGGAAUUUUAUUUUCAGAGUUGGGAGUAUGAUUGAACAGCUCUGCUUGUUCAAGGGAACCUGGAUCCUCUAACAGGAUUUUGUCAUCCUGACUUGGGGAAGUGCAGUCCCACAAAUCUCCAAGUGUUUAGCCAUCUUGAAGUAGAGGGACACAAGUCAUAAGUUCUUCCUUGAUUUAAGGAUUAGGGACCUUGAGUUCCUUCUCCAGGAGCAGGAAUCUGCUCAGGGUUCCUGUCUAUUCCUGCAAGAGAUUUCCUCUAAAGCAGAUUGAACGUUCUAUUAAUUUGGGGGAAAAUAAGUGUUAAUCCUGGCCAGUAGCUGUUAUGACAGAGGUUAGUGGGCAGUUUUGGGCUUAUUUUGUACAGGGAGAAUGCCUAGAAUUGUUACUAUUAUUUUCUUGGCUCCCCCGUGGUGUGUGGCGUUCCCAGGUCAAGGAUCGGAUCCAUGCCACAGCUGCAACCUAAGCUGCAGCAAUCCUGGAUCCUUAACCCACUGUGCUGAGGAUUGAACCUGAGUCCCAGUGCUCCCAAGAUGCCGCCAAUCCUGUUGUGCCGCAGAGGGAAUUCCAAACCCCUUCCUUUUUCAUCCCACUUUGAUGGUGCAAUAAUUCAGCUAUUAAAAAAAAUUUUCAGUCAGCACAUCCUAAAGUGUUCAAAACUGUCCCGCUCAUUUAAAAAUAAGUUUUUAUGUAAGACACUGACAUUCUUUAAAAUGUUUUAAAAUUAUUUUCAAGACUACAUUAUGGCAAUAUUUAAAUAAACAAACCCUUCAUACUUGCAGUUCUCUAAUGUAAUAUAUAUUUUUAAUCAUGUUAGUUUUAUGGUCUCUUCCCAUUAUGGUCUGUUUUAUGAUCUAAUUCUACUUAGAGGUAACAAAUAUGUUUUUGUUUCUACUCACCGUUUUCUAUCUAUUGUUAUAUGAGGCAAUAUAGUCUGAAUCAUUGUAUUUUUAAUAGCUUAAUAGUAAUCCAUUAAGUUGUUAAACUGUUGCUUAUUCAACCAUUGUCCUAUUUUUUGGACAUUUAGUUUUAUUUCUCAUUUCUUUGCUAUUUUGGAAAAUACUGCACCCGGCAGCUUUCUACUUAAUUUUCUGAACCUAAGAGUGGGAUCACUAACUUAAGAGUAAUAUUAUUUUGUUUCCCAGUAGAUUAAAAAAGGUAUUAAGAGGAGUUCCCACUGUGGCGCAGUAGGAUUGGCAGUAUCUCUGCAGUGCCAAGGUCACAGAUUCAAUCCCUGGCUAGGCAUGGUGGGUUAAAGGAUCUGGUGUUGCCACAGCUGUAGCGUAGGUUGCUGCUGUGGCUUGGCUCUGAUCCCUGUCCUGGGAACGCCAUAUGCCGCAGGGUGGACAAAAAGGGAAAAAAAAAAAGGUUAUUAAGAGGGAGUUCCCUGGUGGCCUAGUGGUUAAGGACUCAGUGUUGUCGCUGCUGUGAUUUGGGUUCAAUUCCUGGUCUGGGAAUUUCUGUAUCGUGUGGGUGCAGCCAAAAAAAAAAAAAAAAAA
RNAcentral lists this long non-coding RNA (2507 nucleotides) under Sus scrofa (pig). Its description in RNAcentral is "lncRNA (ENSSSCG00035009803.1)". The stretch from base 2393 to 2465 matches the Rfam family "tRNA". The record is from RNAcentral. Lineage: Eukaryota; Metazoa; Chordata; Mammalia; Artiodactyla; Suidae.